GAACGCUAGCUACAGGCUUAACACAUGCAAGUCGGAGGGGCAGCAUGUAAGUUUGCUUGACUAAACUUUGAUGGGCCGACCGGCGCGACGGGUGAGUAACGCGUAUCCAACCUCGGCCCGCAGGUAGGGAACACGGCCCGGACGAAAGUCGGAUUAAUGCCCUAUGUCUUCCUUUGCAGGCAUCCAAUGAGGAAGAAAGAUUUUAUCGCUGCGGGAUGGGGAUGCGUCUGAUUAGCUUGUCGGCGGGGUAACGGCCCACCGAGGCGACGAUCAGUAGGGGUUCUGAGAGGAAGGUCCCCCCACACUGGUACUGAGACACGGACCAGACUCCUGCGGGAGGCAGCAGUGAGGAAUAUUGGUCAAUGGGCGAGAGCCUGAACCAGCCAAGUAGCGUGCAGGACGAACCUGCCCUAUGGGUUGUAAACUGCUUUUAUGCGGGGAUAAACUUCAGCACGUGUGCUGUUUUGCAGGUACCGCAUGAAUAAGGACCGGCUAAUUCCGUGCCAGCCGCUGC
This 514-nucleotide ribosomal RNA is filed under the name uncultured bacterium. Its description in RNAcentral is "bacterial SSU rRNA". It matches the Rfam family "Bacterial small subunit ribosomal RNA", at positions 31 to 518 of the family's 1533-position model. The record is from RNAcentral.